AUGAGUAACAGUGCCCCCACCCUCACCGUCCUGCCCCCCUCUAGCGAGGAGCUGUCCAGUACAACAGCCACACUGACGUGUCUGGCCAACAAGGGCUUCCCCUCAGACUGGAUCAUGAGCUGGAAUGUGGACGGGACCAGCCAGAAGCAGGAGGCCAAUCCCGGGGUCCUGGAGAAGGCCGGCCUGUACAGCUGGAGCAGCACCCUGACUCUCACUGCCCAGGAGUGGACCAAGGCAGGAGAGGUGACCUGUGAAGCCCAGCAGAAAUCCCAGACUCCAGUCACCAAGACCCUGAGGAAGGCUGACUGUUCUGGGUAGGACCCACCAGUCACA
Oncorhynchus masou masou (cherry salmon) is the source of this 333-nucleotide non-coding RNA. Lineage: Eukaryota; Metazoa; Chordata; Actinopteri; Salmoniformes; Salmonidae. The record is from the annotation of a RefSeq genome assembly.